Molecule: ribosomal RNA, 351 nt
Filed under: Acyrtops beryllinus (emerald clingfisn)
Lineage: Eukaryota; Metazoa; Chordata; Actinopteri; Blenniiformes; Gobiesocidae
Description: partial 12S ribosomal RNA
Rfam family: Bacterial small subunit ribosomal RNA
Source: RNAcentral
AAGCUAUGAUAGCCCUUAUGCUCGCUAUCCGCCUGGGAACUACGAGCUAUAGCUUAAAACCCAAAGGACUUGGCGGUGCUUAAGAUCCACCUAGAGGAGCCUGUUCUAGAACCGAUAACCCCCGUUAAACCCCACCUCUCCUCGCCAUUACCGCCUAUAUACCGCCGUCGUCAGCAUACCCUUUAAAGGGCCCAUAGUAAGCAAAAUCGGUACAACCCAAAACGUCAGGUCGAGGUGUAGCAUAUGGAGAGGAAGAAAUGGGCUACAUUCUCUACCUUAGAGCAAACGAAAAGUGGAGUGAAAUACCCACUAGAAGGAGGAUUUAGUAGUAAGAGAUGAAUAGAGAGCAUC